GAUGAACGCUAGCGGCAGGCUUAACACAUGCAAGUCGAGGGGCAGCGGGUUUGUAGCAAUACAGAUGCCGGCGACCGGCGCAAGGGUGCGUAACGCGUGAGCGACAUGCCCGUCUCAGGGGGAUAAUCCGGAGAAAUCCGGUCUAAUACCCCAUGGUCCCGUUGGGAUGCAUGUCCUGAUGGGUAAAGAUACGUCGGAGACGGAUUGGCUCGCGUGACAUUAGCUGGACGGCGGGGUAACGGCCCACCGUGGCUACGAUGUCUAGGGGAACUGAGAGGUUGGUCCCCCACACUGGAACUGAGACACGGUCCAGACUCCUACGGGAGGCAGCAGUGAGGAAUAUUGGACAAUGGGCGGAAGCCUGAUCCAGCCAUGCCGCGUGAAGGAUUACGGUCCUAUGGAUUUUAAACUUCUUUUGCACGGGAGCAAUAAGGGUCACGCGUGGCCCGAUGAGAGUACCGUGCGAAUAAGCAUCGGCUAACUCCGUGCCAGCAGCCGCGGUAAUACGGAGGAUGCGAGCGUUAUCCGGAUUCAUUGGGUUUAAAGGGUGCGUAGGCGGUGGCGUAAGUCAGCGGUGAAAUUCACGGGCUCAACCCGUGCCGUGCCGUUGAUACUGCGUUGCUGGAGUACUGUCGCCGUGGGAGGAAUGUGUGGUGUAGCGGUGAAAUGCAUAGAUAUCACACAGAACACCGAUUGCGAAGGCAUCUCACGAGGCAGGGACUGACGCUGAUGCACGAAAGUGCGGGGAUCAAACAGGAUUAGAUACCCUGGUAGUCCGCACAGUAAACGAUGAUGACUAGCUGUCGGCGAUAGACAGUCGGUGGCUAAGCGAAAGCGAUAAGUCAUCCACCUGGGGAGUACGACCGCAAGGUUGAAACUCAAAGGAAUUGACGGGGGCCCGCACAAGCGGAGGAACAUGUGGUUUAAUUCGAUGAUACGCGAGGAACCUUACCCGGGCUCGAACGGUGCAGGAAGCCUUCAGAGAUGGAGGCGCUCUUCGGAGCCUGUAUCGAGGUGCUGCAUGGUUGUCGUCAGCUCGUGCCGUGAGGUGUCGGCUUAAGUGCCAUAACGAGCGCAACCCUUGCUGACAGUUGCCAUCAGGUAAAGCUGGGGACUCUGUCGGGACUGCCACCGUAAGGUGUGAGGAAGGGGGGGAUGACGUCAAAUCAGCACGGCCCUUAUGUCCGGGGCGACACACGUGUUACAAUGGUGGGUACAGCGGGAAGCUACGCGGCGACGCGGUGCAAAUCUCGAAAACCCAUCCCAGUUCGGAUCGGAGUCUGCAACCCGACUCCGUGAAGUUGGAUUCGCUAGUAAUCGCGCAUCAGCCAUGGCGCGGUGAAUACGUUCCCGGGCCUUGUACACACCGCCCGUCAAGCCAUGGAAGCCGGGGGUGCCUGAAGUCCGUUACCGCAAGGAUCGGCCUAGGGCAAAACUGGUAACUGGGGCUA
Molecule: ribosomal RNA, 1451 nt
Filed under: uncultured bacterium
Lineage: Bacteria
Description: bacterial SSU rRNA
Rfam family: Bacterial small subunit ribosomal RNA
Source: RNAcentral